UCCUACGGGAGGCAGCAGUGGGGAAUAUUGCACAAUGGGGGAAACCCUGAUGCAGCCAUGCCGCGUGUGUGAAGAAGGCCUUCGGGUUGUAAAGCACUUUCAGUAGGGAGGAAGGUAGUGUAGUUAACACCUGCACUAUUUGACGUUACCUACAGAAGAAGCACCGGCUAACUCCGUGCCAGCAGCCGCGGUAGUACGGAGGGUGCGAGCGUUAAUCGGAAUUACUGGGCGUAAAGCGCAUGCAGGCGGCCUGUUAAGUCAGAUGUGAAAGCCCGGGGCUUAACCUCGGAAUUGCAUUUGAAACUGGCAGGCUAGAGUCUUGUAGAGGGGGGUAGAAUUUCAGGUGUAGCGGUGAAAUGCGUAGAGAUCUGAAGGAAUACCAGUGGCGAAGGCGGCCCCCUGGACAAAGACUGACGCUCAGAUGCGAAAGCGUGGGGAGCAAACAGGAUUAGAUACCCUGGUAGUCCACGCCGUAAACGAUGUCUACUUGGAGGUUGUGGCCUUGAGCCGUGGCUUUCGGAGCUAACGCGUUAAGUAGACCGCCUGGGGAGUACGGUCGCAAGAUUAAAACUCAAAUGAAUUGACGGA
RNAcentral lists this ribosomal RNA (588 nucleotides) under uncultured bacterium. RNAcentral's name for it is "bacterial SSU rRNA". It matches the Rfam family "Bacterial small subunit ribosomal RNA", at positions 337 to 917 of the family's 1533-position model. The record is from RNAcentral.